RNAcentral lists this long non-coding RNA (1218 nucleotides) under Equus caballus (horse). RNAcentral's name for it is "lncRNA (ENSECAG00000051037.1)". Lineage: Eukaryota; Metazoa; Chordata; Mammalia; Perissodactyla; Equidae. The record is from RNAcentral.
GGGAAAGGGAGGAGCCGGUGUCUAGUCAAAGCUCAGCUCUUGUCCCCAGCCCCUCCUCUCCACUCUGCCUCUUCUGAAACUCUGAGGGCAGUUUUGUACCCUACCCCAGCUUCCAAUGUGGUGGGAGACCUCAGCAGUGGGAGAGUUGGGCUGCAGAUGCUCUGAUCCUUUGACACCUGGACUUGAGGUGCCUAAGACCCCAAAACGAAAAAUGAAAGUGCUCCCAGCCCCAAGGAGGUUUUUUUUGCAGGGGGUGAAGAUGCAGCUUCUGGGUCAAGAUGUCUCUGGGCUCUCGGACACGAUUGGAAACAUUGGUUAUAUUACCAAAACUUUGACAAAAUGUCAUAUUUGAGAGAAACAUGCAGUCUCAGAAAUGACAAGACAGAUCUGAGGAACAAAGAUUGGACUUUAUGGAAUAAAGCCACUUGGAAAUAUUGGCCUGGUACCUUGCUUACAGGGUUCCCAGCAACCUUACUAGAAAUUCUUCUUAUUAAAUACGUGGUUACUUGUUUACACAACAUAUGCCUAACUUUGGGAGCCCACCAACAUCACCAUCUUACUAAGAGACUGAUUUAAUGAGAUGGAACAACUUACACCCCUUAUCAGCAGGAGGAAGCUAGAGCAGUUAUCACCCUAUGUCCCUCAAGAUUGCAGAAUGAAGAACAAAAAGGGAGGAUUUGUAACCAUGGGUCUUCUAGGACCAGUUCAACUGACCCCAUCUCUUAUCAAAAGAGUGAUUAAGAAUUGCCUUCCAGAAAAUUCAAAGUCACGUAGCCAGAGCAUGCACAGAAGAAGAAAUCUUGACCUGAAGUGACCGCAGAACCAAAGAUUCUCAUCCCCAUGGGACUCAGAGACCAAGACAUGACCAGAACUUAAACAUCAGACUCUUACCAGAAGCCAGGGGUGCCUCAUUCAGAAAGAACCGGUGUCAAAAUUCCUUCCCCACCUCAUCAUAAAUGUUUAGAACCCUAUCAUAAAAGUUUAGAACUUCAUCAUAAAUGUUCAGAACACUGUCAUAAAUGUUUAGAACUUUACCAUAAAUGCUUGAAGCCUACCAAUGAAAACCUAUCCCACCAGUGUUUCCAUGUGACAGCCUAUUCUCCCUAACCUCUUAAAUUUCACCCCAAAUCCUGAAUCAGGGAGACAUAUCUGAGGCCACAUGGCCCCUGUCUCCCUGCAGAUCAAUCCCACAGAAUAAAGCUGAUUUCUCUCCUAAAA